RNAcentral lists this ribosomal RNA (429 nucleotides) under Chloroflexota bacterium. RNAcentral describes it as "Chloroflexi bacterium partial 16S ribosomal RNA". It matches the Rfam family "Bacterial small subunit ribosomal RNA", at positions 355 to 776 of the family's 1533-position model. The record is from RNAcentral. Lineage: Bacteria; Bacillati; Chloroflexota.
UGGGGAAUAUUGCACAAUGGGCGCAAGCCUGAUGCAGCCAUGCCGCGUGUAUGAAGAAGGCCUUCGGGUUGUAAAGUACUUUCAGUCGGGAGGAAGGUGGUAAGGUUAAUAACCUUAUCAAUUGACGUUACCCGCAGAAGAAGCACCGGCUAACUCCGUGCCAGCAGCCGCGGUAAUACGGAGGGUGCAAGCGUUAAUCGGAAUUACUGGGCGUAAAGCGCACGCAGGCGGUCUGUCAAGUCGGAUGGGAAAUCCCCGGGCUCAACCUGGGAACUGCAUUCGAAACUGGCAGGCUAGAGUCUUGUAGAGGGGGGUAGAAUUCCAGGUGUAGCGGUGAAAUGCGUAGAGAUCUGGAGGAAUACCGGUGGCGAAGGCGGCCCCCUGGACAAAGACUGACGCUCAGGUGCGAAAGCGUGGGGAGCAAACAGG